CCUCCAAGGCUAAAUACUACCUAGGGACCGAUAGCGUAUAGUACCGUGAGGGAAAGGUGAAAAGAACCCCGGGAGGGGAGUGAAAUAGAACCUGAAACCCUGCACUUACAAGCUGUGGAAGCACAUUGCUUGUGUGACCGCGUACUUUUUGUAGAACGGGCCAACGAGUUACGUUAAGUAGCAAGGUUAAGCACUUAAGGUGCGGAGCCGUAGCGAAAGCGAGUUUUAACUGAGCGUUCAGUUACUUGACGUAGA
RNAcentral lists this ribosomal RNA (255 nucleotides) under Clostridioides difficile. RNAcentral's name for it is "partial 23S ribosomal RNA". It matches the Rfam family "Bacterial large subunit ribosomal RNA", at positions 457 to 713 of the family's 2925-position model. The record is from RNAcentral. Lineage: Bacteria; Bacillati; Bacillota; Clostridia; Peptostreptococcales; Peptostreptococcaceae.